AUGCAAACUUGGAGGCUUACUUUUCAAGGAAAACGAGUCUGUCUAGUAUACGAAGAGUUUAAUUCCCUGGUUAUAACUUCCUUACCCGGUAUAAGCAGCGAUGUAUGCUCGGGUCGAGUUGUAUUGUGCUUUUUACGUGUUGCCUUGACCAUCUGCACCGGGUGUUUGCGCGAACCGUCUACAACGGAUCUAGUCGGUAACUUUGUAAGGAGGAAUUCGAUCCAAAAGAGAUGGACGUCGUGGCAGAACCUUCGAAGAUCUACUUACCUGCUAGACCUCGUGAGUUUUGGAUAUGAAAGCGACGGGGUUAGCAGCCGCGGCCUGGUAGUACCGGACACCUGGGUGCACAACGACUCGCUCCCUGUCGGGACCGUCGCGAUUCUCUGCGUCGACGGCUCUGUGGUGACCAGGAAAGCCUGCGACGUCAACGUCGUCGACAGAAGCUACUUCUACCCCGGCGAGGUCGUCGGAUCCGCGUCGGACCUCGGCGGUCAAAUCGGCGUCGUCACCAACGUCACCGUAGCGGUCGACCUGAUCGAGCGCACCGUCCGCGGCGGCGAGCCGGCGAAGAUCGUCAAGGGUGUGCCACCAUCUCGUCUGCGGCGCGUUAAAGGACUCAGCCUGGGCGACUAUGUCGUAUCCGGGCCGUGGCUUGGCCGGGUCGUCGAGGUGUCCACUGAUGUCUACGUGUUGUUCGACGAUGGCGCCAUGUGUAAGGUCCCCGACGCAGAGUCCAAGAUGCUACGAUCAGUGGCCAAGGCCGACGCCCUUUACCGCCCUGAGAUGAAUAGCCCUUUUUACCCGGGGCAGCGGGUGACCGGCGACCCAUGUGCCGUCUUCAAGCCCUCCCGGUGGCUCAACGGCCAUUGGAGGCCGGAGCGUAGAGCAGGCACCGUCACCAAGCUCGAGAUGUCCGGCGCCCUCGUCCACUGGAUCGCGUCGGCGCACGGCGGCACCGACCAACAGCUUGUUCAAGAGUCUGCUCCCCCGGCCUAUCAGAACCCUGGCAAUCUGACCUUCUUUGGCUCCGCGUCUGCCUGCACCUGGGGCGUAGCCGACACGUGCUUCCUUCGAAAAACCAGUGACGACUCACUUCCCGCCGCCGGCGAAACCAACAAGGGUGCUGGCGAUGAUUACUUCGAUGGGCACAGGAGGACGCGAUGCCGGGACGUCGGGAGGUACGUGGAGUUGGACCAGCUGCCCAUGAGCGUUGCUAGCACCCGCAGCACCGUCGACGUGUUGUGGCAGGACGGCACACGGCAGCUCGGUGCACCGUCGACAUCCCUCGUCCCCUUCAACAUCUUGAACGAGCAAGAGUUCCUCCCAGGCCAGUUUGUUGUCGACAACGCCUUUCCCGCGGCAAAUGCCCCUGCUGAUGCUGCCAUCGGUGUUACCGGCGACGAUGACGGCGCAGGUGCUUCUGCGACGAGGCGUGUGGGCUUCGUGACAAGCCUGGAUUGCAAGGACCAGAUGGUGCACGUCUCGUGGUUCAAAGCGGCGUCGCGCCCCGGCCAAGCAAGAGAGAUCGAUUGCGAUGAUACCGUCAGCGCGUACAGCCUAGAAAGGGAGCCUGAACACUAUGCUUACUAUGGAGAUGUCGUUGUUCGCCUGCUACCAUCAGGAUCAACUGACGGCCCAAGUGCACCGCCGUCACAGGGCAACCAUGAGAAGAAAGCCGAUCUUUCAUGGGUCGGGCGUGUGGUAGACCUGCCUGAUGGCUUUGUCCAAGUCAAGUGGGGUGAUGGUAGCACGUCAACGGAAAAUGUUCCACAAAACCCAAUCGGCGUCGACGGCGACCAGGAUCCUGCGGGUAGAGAUGGCCCUGCCGCGAUAACAACAGGCCACCUGGGUUCUGCCGUCUCGUUUGUGAUCGGAUGGGCAAGCAAUGUGUUAGCUCGAGGUAAAAGGUGUCUAGCGGAUUGGUCUUCCCCGUCAUCAUCAGGCUCCGAGUUAUCUGCAGCCGCAGAGAAUGUGGGAGCUCCCGAGACGGUACCUGGUGGUGGUGACCAUCCUAGGGAUGGCGCCGCAAGGGAGGUCGUCGACGGAGACGAUUCUGCCAGUGAGGGGAAGGAGGCUGCAGAUGCUAACGGCAAUGAGGAGUCAUUCCAUUUUCUGCAUUUUGACGUAGGAGAUAGCCCUCCGGAUCAUCAUUACCUUGACACCGCGGACCAGGGCGACUGCCGUGGAAAGUGGGUCAAGAUAGUGCAGAGAGAGUGGAAAAUACUAGAGAACAACUUACCAGAUACCAUCUACGUGCGGGCAUUCGAGAACCGCAUAGAUCUGCUCCGGGCUGUCAUGGUGGGCGCUAGCGGAACACCGUAUCACGACGGGCUCUUCUUCUUCGACUUGCUGCUGCCACCGUCCUACCUAGACGCACCGCCGCAGGUGUACUAUCACUCGUUCGGGCUCUGUCUCAAUCCUAAUCUAUAUGCCUCUAGAACAGUGUGCCUCAGCCUUCUCAACACCUUUGGCGGAGAGGGCACGGAGAUCUGGUCACCAGCGACGUCGAGCCUGCUCCAGGUUCUAGUCUCCAUCCAGGGCCUCGUUCUCAACAACCAGCCCUACUACAAUGAGGCUGGGUACGAAGCUCUGGUCGGCACACCAAAGGGUUGCCGCAACGCUUUGCCGUACAACGAGAAUGCCUACCUACUCACCCUGCGAACUAUGCUCCAUCUACUGCGCCGACCACCUUUGGGGUUCGAGGAGUUUGUCAGGGACCACUUCCGCCGCCGGGGGAGGUUCAUACUUAGGGCAUGCGAGGCAUAUCUUCAAGGAUGCGACGUUGGAACGCUUUGUAGCGAGGCAUGUGCCACCAAGAGGAGUAGCGAGCGGCAGUGCUCACCUGGGUUAAGGUUCACGCUCGCCAAUCUGGUGCCAAGGCUCGUUGCGGCAUUCGUGGAGAUCGGUGCCGAGGGAUGUGUGUAA
Molecule: ribosomal RNA, 2925 nt
Filed under: Triticum aestivum (bread wheat)
Lineage: Eukaryota; Viridiplantae; Streptophyta; Magnoliopsida; Poales; Poaceae
Description: partial small subunit ribosomal RNA
Source: RNAcentral